Thamnophis elegans (Western terrestrial garter snake) is the source of this 797-nucleotide long non-coding RNA. RefSeq lists it as uncharacterized. The record is from RefSeq and is a predicted model, not a curated record. NCBI's taxonomy places the organism in Eukaryota, Metazoa, Chordata, Lepidosauria, Squamata, Natricidae. The transcript is spliced from 2 exons.
AACACUCUCUGGCCGAGCGUCUCAGAAGGCCGGCAGGGCGCGCGAAAUUUUGGCGGGAGUGCUUGCAGCCUCUCUUCUCAGCCUCAGAAGGCCUGAGGGAGCGGAGCCUCUGCUUCUCCUCCGACACUGAAACCGGGAAAGCGGAGUGGGCGGGGGAGGUUCCGCCGUGACCGAAGGCGGCGGCCUCGGAGGAAGUAAGAAUGAAAACAUAACAGGGUUGUCUGCUGGGGAAGAUUUUUGAUUUCUUUAUAGGACUCUGCUCCCUUUGAGGAGAUGGCUGUGGACUUCACAGAGGAAGAUUGGGCACUGCCGGAUUCUGGCCUUGUGCAGGGAAGUCAUGCUGGAGGUUUCUAGGAAUAUGGCUGCUCUGGGUGGGAGGCAGUUGACCAAUCCAGAGGAAGGCUGCUGAAAAACUAAACAAUUAAUUACAUGCCAAAACGUCCCUGUCUUUCACAAGCGCCACAAUUUCCUUGACCAGAGUGCAAGUGUAAAUGUUGGUUUUUUUCUAUCUUUAUCAAAGGCAGGAUUAGUCAAAACACACAGGAAGGAAAAAUAAGGAAAAGAAAGUAUAUCAAAAUACACUGGAAGAAGAGUAAAAAGAUUAGGAUUAGAGCUACAGAAAGAACCACAAAAAAAGAAAUUAAAAAAUCAAAUGCAAUUAAUAAAACAUAAAUUAUGCUUAAUUGAAAAAGAAGAAUUGGCACAAAAAAUUAAAAGUAUAAAACAAAAUUUCUUUGGAAGCGCUAACAAACCAAGGAGGUGGCUGGCAUCUAAAUUAAAAAAGGUGAAAGAAAAGA